AGCGUAGGCGGGAUCGCAAGUCAGAUGUGAAAACUAUGGGCUUAACCCAUAAACUGCAUUUGAAACUGUGGUUCUUGAGUGAAGUAGAGGUAAGCGGAAUUCCUAGUGUAGCGGUGAAAUGCGUAGAUAUUAGGAGGAACAUCAGUGGCGAAGGCGGCUUACUGGGCUUUAACUGACGCUGAGGCUCGAAAGCGUGGGGAGCAAACAGGAUUAGAUACCCCAGUA
This 225-nucleotide ribosomal RNA is filed under the name uncultured Ruminococcus sp. Its description in RNAcentral is "partial 16S ribosomal RNA". It matches the Rfam family "Bacterial small subunit ribosomal RNA", at positions 568 to 792 of the family's 1533-position model. Lineage: Bacteria; Bacillati; Bacillota; Clostridia; Eubacteriales; Oscillospiraceae. The record is from RNAcentral.